RNAcentral lists this ribosomal RNA (486 nucleotides) under uncultured bacterium. Its description in RNAcentral is "partial 16S ribosomal RNA". It matches the Rfam family "Bacterial small subunit ribosomal RNA", at positions 30 to 507 of the family's 1533-position model. The record is from RNAcentral.
AUUGAACGCUGGCGGCAUGCCUUACACAUGCAAGUCGAACGGCAGCACGGGUGCUUGCUCCUGGUGGCGAGUGGCGAACGGGUGAGUAAUACAUCGGAACAUGUCCUGUAGUGGGGGAUAGCCCGGCGAAAGCCGGAUUAAUACCGCAUACGAUCUACGGAUGAAAGCGGGGGACCUUCGGGCCUCGCGCUGUAGGGUUGGCCGAUGGCUGAUUAGCUAGUUGGUGGGGUAAAGGCCUACCAAGGCGACGAUCAGUAGCUGGUCUGAGAGGACGACCAGCCACACUGGGACUGAGACACGGCCCAGACUCCUACGGGAGGCAGCAGUGGGGAAUUUUGGACAAUGGGCGAAAGCCUGAUCCAGCAAUGCCGCGUGUGUGAAGAAGGCCUUCGGGUUGUAAAGCACUUUUGUCCGGAAAGAAAUCCUUGGCCCUAAUACGGUCGGGGGAUGACGGUACCGGAAGAAUAAGCACCGGCUAACUACGUG